Molecule: ribosomal RNA, 1160 nt
Filed under: Bacteroides thetaiotaomicron
Lineage: Bacteria; Pseudomonadati; Bacteroidota; Bacteroidia; Bacteroidales; Bacteroidaceae
Description: bacterial SSU rRNA
Rfam family: Bacterial small subunit ribosomal RNA
Source: RNAcentral
GCAGCAGUGAGGAAUAUUGGUCAAUGGGCGCAGGCCUGAACCAGCCAAGUAGCGUGAAGGAUGACUGCCCUAUGGGUUGUAAACUUCUUUUAUAUGGGAAUAAAGUUUUCCACGUGUGGAAUUUUGUAUGUACCAUAUGAAUAAGGAUCGGCUAACUCCGUGCCAGCAGCCGCGGUAAUACGGAGGAUCCGAGCGUUAUCCGGAUUUAUUGGGUUUAAAGGGAGCGUAGGUGGACAGUUAAGUCAGUUGUGAAAGUUUGCGGCUCAACCGUAAAAUUGCAGUUGAUACUGGCUGUCUUGAGUACAGUAGAGGUGGGCGGAAUUCGUGGUGUAGCGGUGAAAUGCUUAGAUAUCACGAAGAACUCCGAUUGCGAAGGCAGCUCACUGGACUGCAACUGACACUGAUGCUCGAAAGUGUGGGUAUCAAACAGGAUUAGAUACCCUGGUAGUCCACACAGUAAACGAUGAAUACUCGCUGUUUGCGAUAUACAGUAAGCGGCCAAGCGAAAGCAUUAAGUAUUCCACCUGGGGAGUACGCCGGCAACGGUGAAACUCAAAGGAAUUGACGGGGGCCCGCACAAGCGGAGGAACAUGUGGUUUAAUUCGAUGAUACGCGAGGAACCUUACCCGGGCUUAAAUUGCAUUUGAAUAAUCUGGAAACAGGUUAGCCGCAAGGCAAAUGUGAAGGUGCUGCAUGGUUGUCGUCAGCUCGUGCCGUGAGGUGUCGGCUUAAGUGCCAUAACGAGCGCAACCCUUAUCUUUAGUUACUAACAGGUCAUGCUGAGGACUCUAGAGAGACUGCCGUCGUAAGAUGUGAGGAAGGUGGGGAUGACGUCAAAUCAGCACGGCCCUUACGUCCGGGGCUACACACGUGUUACAAUGGGGGGUACAGAAGGCAGCUACCUGGUGACAGGAUGCUAAUCCCAAAAGCCUCUCUCAGUUCGGAUCGAAGUCUGCAACCCGACUUCGUGAAGCUGGAUUCGCUAGUAAUCGCGCAUCAGCCAUGGCGCGGUGAAUACGUUCCCGGGCCUUGUACACACCGCCCGUCAAGCCAUGAAAGCCGGGGGUACCUGAAGUACGUAACCGCAAGGAGCGUCCUAGGGUAAAACUGGUAAUUGGGGCUAAGUCGUAACAAGGUAGCCGUACCGGAAGGUGCGGCUG